Molecule: non-coding RNA, 100 nt
Organism: Lentinula novae-zelandiae
Lineage: Eukaryota; Fungi; Basidiomycota; Agaricomycetes; Agaricales; Omphalotaceae
Source: the annotation of a GenBank genome assembly
GGCGACAUGGCCGAGUGGUCUAAGGCGCUAGAAUCAGGUUAUCUCUGCACUUUCUGUAAUCUAGUCAUUCGUGGCGUGGGUUCGAAUCCCACUGUCGUCA